This 692-nucleotide ribosomal RNA is filed under the name uncultured bacterium. Its description in RNAcentral is "bacterial SSU rRNA". It matches the Rfam family "Bacterial small subunit ribosomal RNA", at positions 32 to 715 of the family's 1533-position model. The record is from RNAcentral.
AACGCUAGCUACAGGCUUAACACAUGCAAGUCGAGGGGCAGCAUAAAAGUAGCAAUACUUUGGUGGCGACCGGCGCACGGGUGAGUAACGCGUAUGCAACCUACCUAUCAGAGGGGGAUAACCCGGCGAAAGUCGGACUAAUACCGCAUAAAACUGGGGCACCGCAUGGUGAUAUUUGUUAAAAAUUUAUUGCUGAUAGAUGGGCAUGCGUUCCAUUAGGUAGUUGGAGAGGUAACGGCUCACCAAGCCCACGAUGGAUAGGGGAACUGAGAGGUUGGUCCCCCACACUGGUACUGAGACACGGACCAGACUCCUACGGGAGGCAGCAGUGAGGAAUAUUGGUCAAUGGGCGAGAGCCUGAACCAGCCAAGUCGCGUGAAGGAAGAAGGAUCUAUGGUUCGUAAACUUCUUUUGCAGGGGAAUAAAGUGCAGGACGUGUCCUGUUUUGUAUGUACCCUGAGAAUAAGGAUCGGCUAACUCCGUGCCAGCAGCCGCGGUAAUACGGAGGAUCCGAGCGUUAUCCGGAUUUAUUGGGUUUAAAGGGUGCGUAGGUGGUUUAAUAAGUCAGCGGUGAAAGUUUGCAGCUUAACUGUAAAAAUGCCGUUGAAACUGUUAGACUUGAGUGUAAAUGAGGUAGGCGGAAUGCGUGGUGUAGCGGUGAAAUGCUUAGAUAUCACGAAGAACUCCGAUUG